Molecule: ribosomal RNA, 330 nt
Filed under: uncultured Jannaschia sp.
Lineage: Bacteria; Pseudomonadati; Pseudomonadota; Alphaproteobacteria; Rhodobacterales; Roseobacteraceae
Description: bacterial SSU rRNA
Rfam family: Bacterial small subunit ribosomal RNA
Source: RNAcentral
GCAGGCCUAACACAUGCAAGUCGAGCGCGCCCUUCGGGGUGAGCGGCGGACGGGUUAGUAACGCGUGGGAACGUGCCCAUCCCUACGGAAUAGCCUCGGGAAACUGAGAGUAAUACCGUAUACGCCCUUCGGGGGAAAGAUUUAUCGGGGAUGGAUCGGCCCGCGUCUGAUUAGAUAGUUGGUGGGGUAAUGGCCUACCAAGUCGACGAUCAGUAGCUGGUUUGAGAGGAUGAUCAGCAACACUGGGACUGAGACACGGCCCAGACUCCUACGGGAGGCAGCAGUGGGGAAUCUUAGACAAUGGGCGCAAGCCUGAUCUAGCCAUGCCGC